UACAGAGGGGGGCAAGCGUUUGUUCGGAAUUACUGGGCGUAAAGGGCGCGUAGGCGGCCCGCUAAGUCGAACGUGAAAUCCCCCGAGCUCAACUCGGGAACUGCGUCCGAUACUGGCGGGCUUGAAUCCGGGAGAGGGAUGCGGAAUUCCUGGUGUAGCGGUGAAAUGCGCAGAUAUCAGGAGGAACACCGGUGGCGAAGGCGGGUCUCUGGGCCGAUACUGACGCUGAGGAGCGAAAGCGUGGGGAGCGAACAGG
This 256-nucleotide ribosomal RNA is filed under the name uncultured bacterium. RNAcentral describes it as "partial 16S ribosomal RNA". It matches the Rfam family "Bacterial small subunit ribosomal RNA", at positions 524 to 776 of the family's 1533-position model. The record is from RNAcentral.